Molecule: ribosomal RNA, 959 nt
Filed under: uncultured bacterium
Lineage: Bacteria
Description: bacterial SSU rRNA
Rfam family: Bacterial small subunit ribosomal RNA
Source: RNAcentral
AAUUCGAUUAAUUACUGGGCGUAAAGCGCACGUAGGCGGUGUGUUAAGUUGGAUGUGAAAGCCCCGGGCUCAACCUGGGAAUUGCAUUCAAAACUGGCACGCUAGAGUAUGUGAGAGGGGGGUAGAAUUCCAAGUGUAGCGGUGAAAUGCGUAGAGAUUUGGAGGAAUACCAGUGGCGAAGGCGGCCCCCUGGCACAAUACUGACGCUCAGGUGCGAAAGCGUGGGGAGCAAACAGGAUUAGAUACCCUGGUAGUCCACGCCGUAAACGAUGUCUACUAGCUGUUCGUGGUCUUGUACUGUGAGUAGCGCAGCUAACGCACUAAGUAGACCGCCUGGGGAGUACGGUCGCAAGAUUAAAACUCAAAUGAAUUGACGGGGGCCCGCACAAGCGGUGGAGCAUGUGGUUUAAUUCGACGCAACGCGAAGAACCUUACCUACUCUUGACAUCUAGCGAAGAUUGCAGAGAUGCAGUUGUGCCUUCGGGAACGCUAAGACAGGUGCUGCAUGGCUGUCGUCAGCUCGUGUUGUGAAAUGUUGGGUUAAGUCCCGCAACGAGCGCAACCCUUAUCCUUAGUUGCCAGCACGUUUGGGUGGGAACUCUAGGGAGACUGCCGGUGAUAAACCGGAGGAAGGUGGGGACGACGUCAAGUCAUCAUGGCCCUUACGAGUAGGGCUACACACGUGCUACAAUGGUACGUACAGAGGGAGGCAAGCUGGCGACAGUGAGCGGAUCUCUUAAAGCGUAUCGUAGUCCGGAUCGCAGUCUGCAACUCGACUGCGUGAAGUCGGAAUCGCUAGUAAUCGCAAAUCAGAAUGUUGCGGUGAAUACGUUCCCGGGCCUUGUACACACCGCCCGUCACACCAUGGGAGUGGGUUGCAAAAGAAGUAGGUAGCUUAACCUUCGGGAGGGCGCUUACCACUUUGUGAUUCAUGACUGGGGUGAAGUCGUAACAAGGUA